CCUUACCUGGCCUUGACAUCCAGAGAACUUUCCAGAGAUGGAUUGGUGCCUUCGGGAACUCUGAGACAGGUGCUGCAUGGCCGUCGUCAGCUCGUGUCGUGAGAUGUUGGGUUAAGUCCCGUAACGAGCGCAACCCCUAUCCCUGGUUGCUAGCAGGUAAUGCUGAGAACUCCAGGGAGACUGCCGGUGACAAACCGGAGGAAGGUGGGGAUGACGUCAGGUCAUCAUGGCCCUUACGGCCAGGGCUACACACGUGCUACAAUGGCGCGUACAGAGGGCUGCCAACUCGCGAGAGUGAGCCAAUCCCUUAAAACGCGUCGUAGUCCGGAUCGGAGUCUGCAACUCGACUCCGUGAAGUCGGAAUCGCUAGUAAUCGCGAAUAAGAAUGUCGCGGUGAAUACGUUCCC
This 407-nucleotide ribosomal RNA is filed under the name uncultured bacterium. RNAcentral describes it as "bacterial SSU rRNA". It matches the Rfam family "Bacterial small subunit ribosomal RNA", at positions 969 to 1375 of the family's 1533-position model. The record is from RNAcentral.